This 408-nucleotide ribosomal RNA is filed under the name Fusobacteriota bacterium. Its description in RNAcentral is "Fusobacteria bacterium partial 16S ribosomal RNA". It matches the Rfam family "Bacterial small subunit ribosomal RNA", at positions 355 to 776 of the family's 1533-position model. The record is from RNAcentral. Lineage: Bacteria; Fusobacteriati; Fusobacteriota.
UGGGGAAUAUUGCACAAUGGACGGAAGUCUGAUGCAGCAACGCCGCGUGCGGGAUGACGGCCUUCGGGUUGUAAACCGCUUUUUCUCAUGACGAAGUUUUUUGACGGUAGUGGGGGAAGAAGCACCGGCUGACUACGUGCCAGCAGCCGCGGUGAUACGUAGGGUGCGAGCGUUGUCCGGAAUUAUUGGGCGUAAAGAGCUUGUAGGCGGUUUGUCGCGUCGAUAGUGCAAACUCAGUGCUUAACGCUGAGCCUGCUGUUGAUACGGGCAGACUAGAGGAAGGUAGGGGAGAAUGGAAUUCCCGGUGGAGCGGUGGAAUGCGCAGAUAUCGGGAGGAACACCGGUGGCGAAGGCGGUUCUCUGGGCCUUUCCUGACGCUGAGAAGCGAAAGCGUGGGGAGCGAACAGG